This 525-nucleotide ribosomal RNA is filed under the name uncultured bacterium. RNAcentral's name for it is "bacterial SSU rRNA". It matches the Rfam family "Bacterial small subunit ribosomal RNA", at positions 8 to 524 of the family's 1533-position model. The record is from RNAcentral.
AGAGUUUGAUCAUGGCUCAGGACGAACGCUGGCGGCGUGCUUAAUACAUGCAAGUCGAGCGAGGUUACUGUUUUGGAUCCCUUCGGGGUGAAGAAGCUUUAACCUAGCGGCGGACGGGUGAGUAACGCGUGGGUAACCUACCCCAAAGUCCGGGAUAACAGCGGGAAACCGCUGCUAAUACCGGAUGCCUUUACCUUGGGGCAUCUUGAGGUAAAGAAAGGUAACGCUUUGGGAUGGGCCCGCGUCCCAUUAGCUAGUUGGUGAGGUAACGGCUCACCAAGGCGACGAUGGGUAGCCGGCCUGAGAGGGUGGACGGCCACACUGGGACUGAGACACGGCCCAGACUCCUACGGGAGGCAGCAGUAGGGAAUAUUGCGCAAUGGACGGAAGUCUGACGCAGCGACGCCGCGUGAGCGAUGAAGGCCUUCGGGUCGUAAAGCUCUGUCCUUGGGGAAGAAGGUCUUCGGACUUGACGGUACCCAAGAAGAAAGCCCCGGCUAACUACGUGCCAGCAGCCGCGGUAAU